GAUGAACGCUGGCGGCGUGCCUCAAACAUGCAAGUCGAGCGGGGCUAUGUAAUAUCGCAAGGUAGAACAUAGCCUAGCGGCGAACGGGUGAGUAACACGUGGGUAACCUGCCUGGAAGACAGGGAUAACGAUUCGAAAGGGUCGCUAAUACCUGAUAAUAUCCUUUCAUCGCAUGGUGAUAGGAAGAAAGGGGAAACCCGCUUUCAGAUGGGCCCGCGUCCCAUCAGCUAGUUGGUAAGGUAAAGGCUUACCAAGGCGACGACGGGUAGCCGGUCUGAGAGGAUGUACGGCCACACUGGGACUGAGAUACGGCCCAGACUCCUACGGGAGGCAGCAGUUGGGAAUCUUAGGCAAUGGACGAAAGUCUGACCUAGCGACGCCGCGUGAGGGAAGAAGGGCCUUCGGGUUGUAAACCUCUGUCAUGGGGAAGAAGGAAGUGACGGUACCCCAAGAGGAAGCCCCUGCUAACUACGUG
This 475-nucleotide ribosomal RNA is filed under the name uncultured bacterium. Its description in RNAcentral is "bacterial SSU rRNA". It matches the Rfam family "Bacterial small subunit ribosomal RNA", at positions 28 to 507 of the family's 1533-position model. The record is from RNAcentral.